ACGAGCGACGCACACGCGCGCCAACGCGUGCAACGUUGUCGCGCAGCCUGAACUAGAGGUGAAGAAGCUGGUUGAAGGAAAUUGUGUUGCAUCGUAUCUGAAAGAGGAUUCAGUGAUGGAUGUUUUUGCAAGUGGAAAGCGAGCGCGCGACGCGGUUGCACCCUUUAUCGGCGGCGAAAAUGCGAUUGCGGGAAAGACAGAUGCGUGGUGACGGGGAAUCCCGACGCCCGGUUCCCAUCGAAUUCCAUGCAAGUUAAAGCCGG
RNAcentral lists this unclassified non-coding RNA (263 nucleotides) under Bombus terrestris (buff-tailed bumblebee). RNAcentral describes it as "misc RNA ENSBTSG00005022819.1". Lineage: Eukaryota; Metazoa; Arthropoda; Insecta; Hymenoptera; Apidae. The record is from RNAcentral.